RNAcentral lists this unclassified non-coding RNA (229 nucleotides) under Hevea brasiliensis (rubber tree). The record is from RNAcentral. Lineage: Eukaryota; Viridiplantae; Streptophyta; Magnoliopsida; Malpighiales; Euphorbiaceae.
UAUAGAGGCUGCACAGAAAUUUCCAAAGACUCUUUUUCACUCCUUUUCCCCCUUAUAAAAAGGACAACAAUGGAGCUUAACUGAUUCCAAUCUCUCCACCCAAACUCAGGAUCUUUCGAUGGUUUCUGGUCGUAUAAGCCUUUUUGAGCUAAUGGCUUCCUCGCACUGGUCUCAAUUCAUUUUCCUAGCAUUGCUAAUAGGUGAAAUAGCAGCAGCAGCGCCACCGAUA